AAGUCGUAACAAGGUUUCCGUAGGUGAACCUGCGGAAGGAUCAUUAACACGUAUCCAACGUUAAACAACCCUGUGAACUUUAAGUCCCCUCUUGCAGCCCAUGAGGAACAGCAAUCCCAAUAAAUCAUUGCCAAACAGUUUUGAUUCGGGACCUCUGUCCAUGGAAGCAGUGGCAUGGCUUCCCCAAGCAGUUAGUGAAUGACAGUGUCACUGACUGUGUAAGGAUAACGCCUCACGGUUGCUAGAGGUCGAUCACCGACCGGCAGACAUGUCACAGGGUCACCACGCCCCUUAAUCACUCCACUUGAAAAUGCCCCGCCUAGUGGUAACGCGCUAGGUAAAAAAAACCGAACAACUGUUAACAAUGGAUAUCUUGGUUCUC
RNAcentral lists this unclassified non-coding RNA (382 nucleotides) under fungal sp. Its description in RNAcentral is "partial internal transcribed spacer region". The stretch from base 1 to 46 matches the Rfam family "Eukaryotic small subunit ribosomal RNA", at positions 1786 to 1831 of the family's 1831-position model. Lineage: Eukaryota; Fungi. The record is from RNAcentral.